CCACCCGACUCCUUCAAAAAGAAAAAAAAAAAAAACACCCGACAAAAAAAAAAAAGAAUUUUAAAAGCCCGAAAACCCUAAUUACAACAUAUUCUCACCCACUCUCUCUCUCUCUUUCUCCCAUAUACCAGCCGCAUAUCCCCCCUCCCUUCUCUUCUCACCAUUGCCCUCUCUUUUCUCGUCUCUCUGCCUAUUCUUCUCCUUCUAUGUGCACGGAGGUGCUUCUCCUCGGUGCACAACAGAGGCACUCGGCCUCUUCUCCUCGGCGCACAGGUAGCUUCGACGGCGUCCAACAGAAGCGCUCGGCACACAAACACACCCAGUUUCUCCUCUGUCACAAAUGAUCUUAUGCUAGGCAGAGUUUUCGUUCGUAGGUCUCGAUGGAGACGGGGGUGCUCGAUAAAGAUGUCGUCUGUGGGGUUCAACAGUGGGGUGGUGGCCAUGGGGUUCAAAGGUGAGGCUGGUGGUUGUGGGAUUCUUGUUUAAAAUUAAUUCAUUUGACUUUGUUUUUCUGUUUUAGGUUACUUAAUUUUUAUGUUCACAAAUGCAACUUUUGGAUAUAUUUGUAUUUUAUAUCAUGUGAGUAUAUGUAUAUAUAUAUAUAUAAAUACAUGUAUAUCUGGUCAAGAAAGUAUGUGUGUAUAUAUAUAUAUAUAAAUAUAUGUAUUUAUUCAUAAGGUUCAGGACCACUGCUCUUGGAGUAAUUUUACAGAAUAUUGAAACCGUUAUAAAUGUUU
This is a long non-coding RNA of Humulus lupulus (European hop), 737 nucleotides long. RefSeq lists it as uncharacterized. The record is from RefSeq and is a predicted model, not a curated record. The transcript is spliced from 2 exons. NCBI's taxonomy places the organism in Eukaryota, Viridiplantae, Streptophyta, Magnoliopsida, Rosales, Cannabaceae.